RNAcentral lists this ribosomal RNA (459 nucleotides) under uncultured bacterium. RNAcentral describes it as "bacterial SSU rRNA". It matches the Rfam family "Bacterial small subunit ribosomal RNA", at positions 340 to 786 of the family's 1533-position model. The record is from RNAcentral.
UACGGAAGGCAGCAGUGGGGAAUAUUGCACAAUGGGCGAAAGCCUGAUGCAGCUAUGCCGCGUGUAUGAAGAAGGCCUUAGGGUUGUAAAGUACUUUUCAUCGGGGAGGAAAAAACAAAACUAAUAAUUUUAUUUCUUGACGUUACCCGAAAAAGAAGCACCGGCUAACUCCGUGCCAGCAGCCGCGGUAAUACGGAGGGUGCUAGCGUUAAUCAGAAUUACUGGGCGUAAAGAGCACGUAGGUGGUUUUUUUAAAGUCAGAUGUGAAAUCCCUGGGCUUAACCUGGAACUUGCAUUUUGAAACUGAAAUACUAGAGUAUCGUAGAGGGAGGUAGAAUUCUAGGUGUAGCGGUGAAAUGCGUAGAUAUCUGGAGGAAUACCUGUGGCGAAAGCGGCCUCCUAAACGAAUACUGACACUGAGGUGCGAAAGCGUGGGGAGCAAACAGGGACUUAGAUACC